This 295-nucleotide ribosomal RNA is filed under the name uncultured bacterium. Its description in RNAcentral is "partial 16S ribosomal RNA". It matches the Rfam family "Bacterial small subunit ribosomal RNA", at positions 334 to 627 of the family's 1533-position model. The record is from RNAcentral.
GUGACCUACGGGGCGCAGCAGUGAGGAAUAUUGGUCAAUGGCCGGAAGGCUGAACCAGCCAAGCCGCGUGAAGGACGAAGGUGCCAAGCAUUGUAAACUUCUUUUGUCAAGGGACAAAAUCAGGCUCGAGAGCCUGACCGAGGGUACUUGAAGAAAAAGCAUCGGCUAACUCCGUGCCAGCAGCCGCGGUAAUACGGAGGAUGCGAGCGUUAUCCGGAUUUAUUGGGUUUAAAGGGUGCGUAGGCGGGCUGUUAAGUCAGCGGUCAAAUGUCGGGGCUCAACCCCGGCCUGCCGU